This 253-nucleotide ribosomal RNA is filed under the name uncultured bacterium. RNAcentral's name for it is "partial 16S ribosomal RNA". It matches the Rfam family "Bacterial small subunit ribosomal RNA", at positions 524 to 776 of the family's 1533-position model. The record is from RNAcentral.
UACGUAGGGGGCAAGCGUUGUCCGGAAUCAUUGGGCGUAAAGCGCGUGUAGGCGGCUCGGUAAGUCUGCUGUGAAAGUCCAGGGCUCAACCCUGGGAUGCCGGUGGAUACUGUCGAGCUCGAGUCCGGAAGAGGCGAGUGGAAUUCCUGGUGUAGCGGUGAAAUGCGCAGAUAUCAGGAGGAACACCAAUGGCGAAGGCAGCUCGCUGGAACGGUACUGACGCUGAGGCGCGAAAGCGUGGGGAGCAAACAGG